RNAcentral lists this ribosomal RNA (505 nucleotides) under uncultured Gammaproteobacteria bacterium. RNAcentral describes it as "bacterial SSU rRNA". The record is from RNAcentral. Lineage: Bacteria; Pseudomonadati; Pseudomonadota; Gammaproteobacteria.
CCCGCGAGCGGCGCUAUCUGCAGUCGAGCGGACUUAGAAGCUUGCUUCUCUUGUUAGCGGCGGACGGGUGAGUAAUGCCUGGGAAUCCGGCCGGUAAUAGUGGAUUACCUUCGGAAAACCAGACUUAUUCCCGGAUCAUCCUUUUCUACACAUGUAGAAACCCUUCAGGACUUGCUCUUCUGAUGAUUCCAGAUGGGACCUACCUGCUGUAUGAUGUAAGGGGACGUCACGGCUACCAUCCGUAACUAUGCUGAGACGAUCAUCAAGCGCGAUGGAACUCACAGGCACUGAAAACUCCUCCAGAAUCCUACAGUGGGCAAUAUUGGACAAUGUUCCACAGCGUAGAACAGUCUUACCGAGCUGCGCCACAAGGUCGACGAAUGGUUUCGCAUCUUAAAUCUCUGUUAAUAGCGAAUACCUAAUACGAGAUUGUCUUGCUCGUACCUUGACGAUUCCUCACCGGAUAGCCUCGUUAACUACGCCGCCGUAAUCCGCAGUAAUACGA